UACGUAGGGUGCGAGCGUUAAUCGGAAUUACUGGGCGUAAAGCGUGCGCAGGCGGCGCGUUAAGACAGGUGUGAAAGCCCCGAGCUUAACUUGGGAAUUGCGCUUGUGACUGGCGGGCUGGAGUGUGGCAGAGGGGGGUGGAAUUCCACGUGUAGCAGUGAAAUGCGUAGAUAUCGAGAGGAACACCUGCGGCGAAGGCGGGUUGCUGGGCUGACACUGACGCUGAGGCGCGAAAGCUAGGGGAGCGAACGGG
This 253-nucleotide ribosomal RNA is filed under the name uncultured bacterium. RNAcentral describes it as "partial 16S ribosomal RNA". It matches the Rfam family "Bacterial small subunit ribosomal RNA", at positions 524 to 776 of the family's 1533-position model. The record is from RNAcentral.